GAUGAACGCUGGCGGCGUGCCUAAUACAUGCAAGUCGAGCGAACAGAUAAGGAGCUUGCUCCUUUGAAGUUAGCGGCGGACGGGUGAGUAACACGUGGGUAACCUACCUAUAAGACUGGGAUAACUUCGGGAAACCGGAGCUAAUGCCGGAUAACAUUUAGAACCGCAUGGUUCUAAAGUGAAAGAUGGUUUUGCUAUCACUUAUAGAUGGACCCGCGCCGUAUUAGCUAGUUGGUAAGGUAACGGCUUACCAAGGCGACGAUACGUAGCCGACCUGAGAGGGUGAUCGGCCACACUGGAACUGAGACACGGUCCAGACUCCUACGGGAGGCAGCAGUAGGGAAUCUUCCGCAAUGGGCGAAAGCCUGACGGAGCAACGCCGCGUGAGUGAUGAAGGGUUUCGGAUCGUAAAACUCUGUUAUUAGGGAAGAACAAAUGUGUAAGUAACUGUGCACAUCUUGACGGUACCUAAUCAGAAAGCCACGGCUAACUACGUG
RNAcentral lists this ribosomal RNA (497 nucleotides) under uncultured bacterium. Its description in RNAcentral is "partial 16S ribosomal RNA". It matches the Rfam family "Bacterial small subunit ribosomal RNA", at positions 28 to 507 of the family's 1533-position model. The record is from RNAcentral.